RNAcentral lists this ribosomal RNA (446 nucleotides) under uncultured bacterium. RNAcentral's name for it is "bacterial SSU rRNA". It matches the Rfam family "Bacterial small subunit ribosomal RNA", at positions 330 to 792 of the family's 1533-position model. The record is from RNAcentral.
CCCAGACUCCUACGGGAGGCAGCAGUGGGGAAUAUUGCACAAUGGGGGAAACCCUGAUGCAGCGACGCCGCGUGAGUGAAGAAGUAUUUCGGUAUGUAAAGCUCUAUCAGCAGGGAAGAAAAAAGACGGUACCUGACUAAGAAGCCCCGGCUAACUACGUGCCAGCAGCCGCGGUAAUACGUAGGGGGCAAGCGUUAUCCGGAAUUACUGGGUGUAAAGGGUGCGUAGGUGGCAUGGUAAGUCAGAAGUGAAAGCCCGGGGCUUAACCCCGGGACUGCUUUUGAAACUGUCAUGCUGGAGUGCAGGAGAGGUAAGCGGAAUUCCUAGUGUAGCGGUGAAAUGCGUAGAUAUUAGGAGGAACACCAGUGGCGAAGGCGGCUUACUGGACUGUCACUGACACUGAUGCACGAAAGCGUGGGGAGCAAACAGGAUUAGAUACCCUGGUA